UGGUGCUGACAGUGGGUCCUGUCACCCUCCUGCAGUCUGUGCUUCACGUGGACAUGUGUGCACUAUUUAUGUGGCUAAUAGGCUUCCUUACUGAGGGCAACAUUUACAUGCCAUAAAAAGUCCAUUAGGCUGAAUUUAAGCUUCUCCAGAGAUCAUGGGGCCUAAUCUGUACUUGGCAUUUGACAUGGAGGGAAUUGAAAAUCCCAAGGACCCUUUCUGCUGGGCCGUUGCCGGGAUUGAGGAGAGAGCUUCGCUGAAGGCGUGAGUAGGUGAAUGGAUGUGUUAGGUACCAAUCCCAGGACUAUCGGGCAGACUCAGAAGCAGCACGUGGGGAACGUUCUCAGACUUGAUGCAUUAGCUGAUGACCCACAGUGCACCAAGGCUCCCCACCUUCUCCUGGAGUCAGGCCGCUUGUCAAGUCUCCAGCCCCUCAGAGGCUGGCCCUGGACAAUCAGAUCUGUGUGCAUUUGCCUGAGGAGUCAUCUCUAUGCUCCUCCUGCUUCAGGGCGUUGUUUUGGUGCCAUACUCUGCAACCUCCAGUCUUGGCCCUCUGCCUGUUGUGUUGAACAGGUAGCCUGGGGAGAGGGACUUCCUGAGACGGCAGAAUGAUUUAAAGGCAUUCUGGUGAGAUUCAGUCUGGAAGCAACAAUUCCUUGUGCAAGAUGUGUGAGGGGAAAAAAAUAAGUGUAUCUUGCUCUGGCCUUCAAUUCAUGGAAAGCUAUAUGAAUUAGAACUCAGAUGUCAGAUCAUCAAUGAAAGAAAAUCUUGUUUAAGUAAACGUUUAACUGUUCACUCAUGUCUUCAUGAUGUAGAGAUUAAGAGUGUGAACCUUAGAGGCUGGGCGUGGUGGCUCAUGCCUGUAAUCCAAGCACUUUGGAGGCCAAGGCGGCGGAUCACCUGAGGUCGGGAGUUCAAGAAUGUGAACCUUAAUGUAGACUGCUUGGGUCCCAGUGUCACCAGUUACUAGCUGUGUGGCCUUGGCAAGUCAUUUAAUUUCUCUGAGCAUAAAUUUCCUCAUCUAGAAAACAGCAUCCAGCUCACUGAAUUUUGAGAAAUUGAAUAAUGCAUAAAUAAAACACUACCUGCUUUAUCUGCUCUGCGCCCUACCAAAUUUUGUUGUUGCUUUGUAGUUAUAAUUAUUCUAAUGGUAUUCUAAUCCUAGAUUGAUUGUUCACGAGCUUUUUACCUUACUUACUAUGACUAAGCUCCAUGUGCAGGGAGCUAUGGGACAGAGGGAAGGGUCAGAUUUCAUUUCAGUUGCAUUAAAGAAGAAUAAA
Molecule: RNA transcript, 1277 nt
Organism: Callithrix jacchus (white-tufted-ear marmoset)
Lineage: Eukaryota; Metazoa; Chordata; Mammalia; Primates; Cebidae
Source: RefSeq, a predicted model, not a curated record